AACGAACGCUGGCGGCAUGCCUAACACAUGCAAGUCGAACGAGACCUUCGGGUCUAGUGGCGCACGGGUGCGUAACGCGUGGGAACCUGCCCUUAGGUUCGGAAUAACUCCCCGAAUGGGGUGCUAAUACCGGAUAAUGUCUUCGGACCAAAGAUUUAUCGCCUUUGGUUGGGCCCGCGUUGGAUUAGCUAGUUGGUAGGGUAAAAGGCUACCAAGGCGACGAUCCAUAGCUGGUCUGAGAGGAUGAUCAGCCACACUGGGACUGAGAAACGGCCCAGACUCCUACGGGAGGCAGCAGUGGGGAAUAUUGGACAAUGGGCGAAAGCCUGAUCCAGCAAGGCCGCGUGAGUGAUGAAGGCCUUAGGGUUGUAAAGCUCUUUUACCCGGGAUGAUAAUGACAGUACCGGGAGAAUAAGCUCCGGCUAACUCCGUG
RNAcentral lists this ribosomal RNA (433 nucleotides) under uncultured bacterium. RNAcentral's name for it is "partial 16S ribosomal RNA". It matches the Rfam family "Bacterial small subunit ribosomal RNA", at positions 29 to 507 of the family's 1533-position model. The record is from RNAcentral.